This 238-nucleotide unclassified non-coding RNA is filed under the name Hevea brasiliensis (rubber tree). Lineage: Eukaryota; Viridiplantae; Streptophyta; Magnoliopsida; Malpighiales; Euphorbiaceae. The record is from RNAcentral.
GUUUUUGGAUUUUAAUAUAUAGAGUACAGCAACGACCAUAAGUCCUAAAAUCAUACUAGAAAAAACCUCCUAUUUCAGGGUUCCUAGAAUAGUUAAAAGUACUCUUGCGUACCUAUGCAAGAGAAGUAAAUUUUCCGGGUCAGUUCAGAUUGGUUAGGUUGGCCUUAUUAGCAAAGGUGGCGCAUUCUUGUAAAUCGGCCAAGGAAUAUGAACGCCAAGUGGAGAAAGUUCUUUGAGG